UUCUUCUACCUGUCCAUCUGGGCACGAAUGUCAUGCUCAUUGUCAUGGUAACUUCUCAGCGUUGAGAAGCAGUUGCCAAAGGAGACAGAUGUGGUCUCCCCACUGCGGAUGCAGGUGCCUGCAGAAGACUUCUGCUGUCCUGGGAAGGACCCCAAGCUACCCGAAUGGCCAGACACGCCUGAUGCUGAAGAGUUGCUGGCACUGCGCUCGCAGUGUACCCCAGGGAGAUGGAGGACGACCCUUGGAAGUUGCAAUUCCAGAUAAGGUACUGUGAUGAGAGCUGUUUGUGGAGCUGAAGACCAGGACAAGAGGUGCUGUGAACUUUCGUCUCCCAUUGAAGUUUUAGCUAUCUAAUCUAGGGGGGCUCCAGUUUUCCAUGAUGUGGACUGCUUCUUAACAGAGAUUGAGAGCGACAUGUCCACAAGACAUUCAGAGAAAGAAUGUCUCAGACUGCCUUCCUCCAUGUGCAAUCACA
Molecule: long non-coding RNA, 475 nt
Organism: Mauremys reevesii (Reeves's turtle)
Lineage: Eukaryota; Metazoa; Chordata; Testudines; Geoemydidae
Exons: 3
Source: RefSeq, a predicted model, not a curated record